UGGACACUGGCAGGAAGGCCACGGAGACGCCAGCGCCACGAUGGCAGGGCCCGCGUGACCACCGCGGCGAGGCCGGGACCCACGGGAAUAAAGAGCUCCACUGAAGAAGCUUAUGGAACUCCCGAAGGUUGGAGAUGUUGCGGAGAAGUUGGGGCCGUGGAACUUAGAAAUCAAGAAUUAGCCGAGUGACACACCGUAACCCCCUACAGAUGCUUCCUUGUUUCAGGUGGACCCACCCUGGCCUCCAGAGGAAAUAUUUUCAGGGCAUCUUUUUUGACUGGUUUGCUAAGAGGCACUGUGAUACCUUUUAAUAAUGUCUACAUUAAUUUAAAAAGGCAAAGGUGUGAAAACCAAGCAUGCCAUGGUAUCAACUGCUUUCAGUCCUCUGAAUCAAAGUUCUGGAACCCCAAGAUGGUGUUCUCUAUCCCUGGGGCUCGCACCUGCAUGCACACUUCUCAGCAUCACGCACUGUGCACCCGGCACUGGUGGCUGCUUUGAUGACUCAGCACGUUUCCAGUCACUGGAGGGCUCCUCUGUUACUCCACUUACGCCAUUCCCCCUGGGUGGCAAACAAGCGCAAAUACCAUGAAACGAUAAGUGGGAGCUGAAAUACUGCUGAAGUCCUUUUCUUGUACGGGGACCGUUUUGGAGAGGCAGGUCCUGUCAUCAGCGUUCCGGCUCCCAGCUGUGCGGAAUCUCCAGGAAGGAGCCGGGGUCUGGGCUCUGCAGCUCAGGCCCCGCCCUGACCUGUGUCAUCUGUGCCCAGAAGCGGCACCAGUUCAGCUCUGUGCAAAGGGCAUGUUUGCCAGGAGGGGCAGCCUCCGGGUGGCUGGGAGCCCAGGGUCAGAUCCUUGUUGAUAUGGAGUUGGUGUGACCAGAUGCUGAGCCGGCUCACAGCAUCCAGAGUAAAGAAAACAGCCUUCAGAUUCAGAACCUUAUGAGAGAAACUGAGUCCAUGACGACAGCCCAAAGAACACUGUCACCGGACAAGUCUCUCAAAGCUUUCGGUGUUUUAUCAAAUGUCCCUCUUCAAGAACAACUUUAUUGGAGAGAAGAAUGUGGAGGGGAGAGAAAUGAUUUUUUCAAUGGUAAAAUAGUUCAAUGUAAAAUAGUUCUAACCAGUUCACAUUGGUAUAUUGUGUAUUCAUUUAGUAUGAUAUUCUAUUUUUGUAACUGUUUUACUAGAAGAGUAGGUCUUUGACUUAAAUAUUUAUUUUUACACAGUUAUCAAGUCUUCAAAUAGUUUUAUUCACGUCACAUAAUUUUAGUUUUACCAGAAUAAUACCACAUCCUGUUCUCCUACUUUCUCCUGCUUCUCUUUUCGUAUUUGCUGUCUAAUUGCAUUUCAAUUUUUGACUGUGAGCAGUGCUCUCUGCUCUGCAGAGUGCUCUGAGCGGACAGCUGUUUGCACACAGCCCAGGUCUGUGCGUUGGAGGCUGUGCAGGCGGACAAUGGGCCUUUCUCAGUUUGGAUCCGUCGAAAGACAGUGAAUCCCUCCGUCACUCCUAUGAAAUGCUGCUGUUCCCGGGGCUGCACUUUGUUAAACACAACAGUGUCAGGGAUGAGAGUUUUUGAGGGGUCUUCUGCACCCCAUCCCAUCUGCUCUUUUGCAGCUGUCCCAGGAAUUUUAUGCAAAAGCUUUUAAGUAAAAUUGCUUUGUGCCUUUAUACACUCAGAGUGGGAUGAACUGAAACUAAGGUCAAAUUUAUGUUAGUGGUGCAGCUUCAUCUUCCGUAGAAUAGAUGAAAAAUAUUUUUAAAAAAAUUGGUUUUUGUUUUAAAACUACCAAGAUCUUCCAGAAGCAUUUGCACUUGGGUGGGGACACGGUGGGGGGGUGGGAGAGGGUGCGGGGGAGGAAAGGAUCCCUCAGAGUGAAUUCUGGAGGAGAUGUCAGAUGCGUGAGGAUCAGGCAGAGUGUGUGCUGGGGGCUGAGAAGCCCUUUCCUAACCCGGAAUUUGCUGAGCGAUUUUGAGGAAACCAAAUUGUUCACCUCAAUCUGAGUGAAUAGAAAGCUUGUAAUUGCUUUUAAAAA
Molecule: long non-coding RNA, 2032 nt
Organism: Myotis davidii
Lineage: Eukaryota; Metazoa; Chordata; Mammalia; Chiroptera; Vespertilionidae
Exons: 2
Source: RefSeq, a predicted model, not a curated record